GACGAACGUUGGCGGCGUGCUUAAUACAUGCAAGUCCACUGAAGCAGUGGUAGCAAUAUCGCUGUGGCGGUUGCGCACGGGUGAGUAACACGUAGGUAAUCUGCCUUCAGGUCUGGCAUUACCCCGGGAAACCGGGGCUAAUAGCAGAUGAUGCAGCGGCUCGACAUCGAGACGGUUGUUAAAGCUCUGGCGCCUGGAGAUGAGCCUGCGUCUGAUUAGCUAGUUGGCGGGGUAACGGCCCACCAAGGCUUCGACCAGUAGCUGGGCAGAGAGGGUGAUGGGCAACAUUGGGACUGAGAUACGGCAUAGACUCCUACGGGAGGCAGCAGUGGGGAAUAUUGCACAAUGGGCGGAAGCCUGAUGCAGCAACGACGCGUGCGGGAUGACGGCCUUCGGGUUGUAAACCGCUUUCGCCUGUGACGAAGCGUGAGGGACGGUAAUGGGUAAAGAAGCACCGGCUAACUAAGUG
This 469-nucleotide ribosomal RNA is filed under the name uncultured bacterium. Its description in RNAcentral is "partial 16S ribosomal RNA". It matches the Rfam family "Bacterial small subunit ribosomal RNA", at positions 28 to 507 of the family's 1533-position model. The record is from RNAcentral.